CCCUUAGAUGUUCUGGGCCGCACGCGCGCUACACUGACGAUGGCAACGAGUUUUUCCUUCGCCGAAAGGUGUGGGUAAUCUUUUGAAACAUCGUCGUGCUGGGGAUAGAUCAUUGCAAUUUUUGAUCUUGAACGAGGAAUGCCUAGUAAGCGUGAUUCAUCAAAUCGCGUUGAUUACGUCCCUGCCCUUUGUACACACCGCCCGUCGCUCCUACCGAUUGAAUGUGUUGGUGAGGAGCUCGGAUUGGCAGCAGUUGGUGGUUCGCCACCGGCUAUUGCUGAGAAGUCCUCCAAACCGCCCCAUUUAGAGGAAGGAGAAGUCGUAACA
Molecule: ribosomal RNA, 327 nt
Filed under: uncultured eukaryote
Lineage: Eukaryota
Description: partial 18S ribosomal RNA
Rfam family: Eukaryotic small subunit ribosomal RNA
Source: RNAcentral